RNAcentral lists this ribosomal RNA (253 nucleotides) under uncultured bacterium. RNAcentral describes it as "partial 16S ribosomal RNA". It matches the Rfam family "Bacterial small subunit ribosomal RNA", at positions 524 to 776 of the family's 1533-position model. The record is from RNAcentral.
UACGAAGGGGGCUAGCGUUGCUCGGAAUCACUGGGCGUAAAGGGCGAGUAGGCGGCUUUUUAAGUCGGGGGUGAAAGCCUGUGGCUCAACCACAGAAUUGCCUUCGAUACUGGAAAGCUUGAGACCGGAAGAGGACAGCGGAACUGCGAGUGUAGAGGUGAAAUUCGUAGAUAUUCGCAAGAACACCAGUGGCGAAGGCGGCUGUCUGGUACGGAUCUGACGCUGAGGCGCGAAAGCGUGGGGAGCAAACAGG